RNAcentral lists this ribosomal RNA (587 nucleotides) under uncultured bacterium. RNAcentral's name for it is "bacterial SSU rRNA". It matches the Rfam family "Bacterial small subunit ribosomal RNA", at positions 395 to 1002 of the family's 1533-position model. The record is from RNAcentral.
UGCCGCGUGAGUGAAGAAGGCCUUUGGGUUGUAAAGCUCUUUUGUAGGGGAAGAUAAUGACUGUACCCUAAGAAUAAGGUCCGGCUAACUUCGUGCCAGCAGCCGCGGUAAUACGAAGGGACCUAGCGUAGUUCGGAAUUACUGGGCGUAAAGCGCGCGUAGGCCGUUGAGUUAGUUAAUUGUGAAAUCCCAAAGCUUAACUUUGGAACUGCAAUUAAAACUGCUCGACUAGAGUUUGAUAGAGGAAAGCGGAAUACAUAGUGUAGAGGUGAAAUUCGUAGAUAUUAUGUAGAACACCAGUUGCGAAGGCGGCUUUCUGGGUCAACACUGACGCUGAGGCGCGAAAGUAUGGGUAGCAAAGAGGAUUAGAUACCCUCGUAGUCCAUACCAUAAACGAUGAUUGCUAGAUGUUGGAAAUUUAUUUUCAGUAUCGCAGCUAACGCAUUAAGCAAUCCGCCUGGGGAGUACGACCGCAAGGUUAAAACUCAAAUGAAUUGACGGGGACCCGCACAAGCGGUGGAGCAUGUGGUUUAAUUCGAAGAUACGCGCAGAACCUUUACAAGCCUUGACAUGUCUGUCGCGAGUUU